This 506-nucleotide ribosomal RNA is filed under the name uncultured bacterium. Its description in RNAcentral is "partial 16S ribosomal RNA". It matches the Rfam family "Bacterial small subunit ribosomal RNA", at positions 28 to 507 of the family's 1533-position model. The record is from RNAcentral.
GACGAACGCUGGCGGCGUGCUUAACACAUGCAAGUCGAACGGUGAAGGGACUGGUUUUGCUGGUCCUGGAUGAGUGGCGAACGGGUGAGUACCACGUGAGUAACCUGCCCCCUUCUUCUGGAUAACCGCAUGAAAGUGUGGCUAAUACGGGAUAUUCUGGGUCUGUCGCAUGGUGGGCCUGGGAAAGAUUGCGCCUUUUUUGGUGUUUUUGGUGGGGGAUGGGCUCGCGGCCUAUCAGCUUGUUGGUGGGGUGAUGGCCUACCAAGGCGGUGACGGGUAGCCGGCCUGAGAGGGUGGACCGUCACACUGGGACUGAGACACGGCCCAGACUUCUACGGGAGGCAGCAGUGGGGAAUAUUGCACAAUGGGCGCAAGCCUGAUGCAGCGACGCCGCGUGAGGGAUGGAGGCCUUCGGGGUGUGAACCUCUUUCGCCAGUGAAGCAGGCCUGCCUCUUUUUGUGGGUGGGUUGACGGUAGCUGGAUAAGAAGCGCCGGCUAACUACGUG